AACUGGCAACGCCAACAGUACUCUAGGUUUCCGAUAUAAAAGCCUGCAUUCAGUCUUGAUUGGCAGUCCGGACAGGUUGUCCAUAGCGUGGUGGAGAACCUUCACAAAUCCUACACACGACUAGGAAGGAAAGUCGUUGGAAUAUUUCAGUGAAUGGCGAGGUUGAGGAGGUCGAAAACAGGAAUAGCUGCUUGCAUCUGGAUGGGUGUCCAUAAGCACUGUUGGAAGUUGUCUUCCCUGUAGCAGGUUUUUGGUGACAUUUCCUGAUGAAUCUUUGUCUGAAGCACUCCCAAAAAAUGAUGGGAUUUAGCUUUCUUCAUGGACGUCGGCGCAAAGGAGCCAUAUCUCUUAUAUUUCUAGUCAUCUUUAUAGUAGUACUUUACUCUUUACAGAAAAAAGACCCUGCAAUGUUAGAAAUCUUAGGUGACUCUUAUUGGUUGGACUUGCUACAUUCCAGUUACUUCAUUCCCAGAAAUAGAAUAAUUAUGCCACUACAUAUUUCAUAUAUAAUUGAACCAGAAAGACACUGUAGCAGUGAAGGCUACAUUGCUGUUCUUAUUCCAAGUCACCCACAGGAUGGCUUAAGAAGAGCAGCGAUUCGGAAGACUUGGGGCUAUGCUUUGAGACAGGAAGAGUGGCCACAUGCCUUACUUAGGGCACAUGCUGACAUUUUCUUUUUACUAGGGAGAGCAUCCACCCAGCUGGAAUAUCAGUCUGUUGAGCAGGAAGCACACACACAUGAUGAUAUAAUUAUAGGUGACUUUGUUGAUACAUACAGAAACCUCUCAAUAAAAAUGUUAUUUGGGUUGAAUUGGAUUGCCAAGAACUGCGCGGAAACAAAGUUUCUUGUCAAAAUGGAUUCAGACACAUUUGUUGACUUUCCACAGCUGAUGGACCUUCUCCUGAAUAAUGA
RNAcentral lists this long non-coding RNA (913 nucleotides) under Pomacea canaliculata. Its description in RNAcentral is "uncharacterized LOC112565858, transcript variant X3". The record is from RNAcentral. Lineage: Eukaryota; Metazoa; Mollusca; Gastropoda; Architaenioglossa; Ampullariidae.